RNAcentral lists this ribosomal RNA (424 nucleotides) under uncultured bacterium. Its description in RNAcentral is "bacterial SSU rRNA". It matches the Rfam family "Bacterial small subunit ribosomal RNA", at positions 355 to 772 of the family's 1533-position model. The record is from RNAcentral.
UGGGGAAUAUUGGACAAUGGGCGCAAGCCUGAUGACGCAAUGCCGCGUGGAGGAUGAAGGUCUUCGGCUUGUAAACUCCUGUUGCCAGGGACGAAUGGCUCCGACCUAAUACGUCGGAGAAUGACGGUACCUGGUGAGGAAGCCCCGGCUAACUCUGUGCCAGCAGCCGCGGUAAUACGUAGGGGGCGAGCGUUGUUCGGAAUUACUGGGCGUAAAGCGCGCGUAGGCGGCUUUGUAAGUUAGAGGUGAAAGCCCGGAGCUCAACUCCGGAAUUGCCUUUAAGACUGCAUCGCUAGAAUCGUGGAGAGGUGAGUGGAAUUCCGAGUGUAGAGGUGAAAUUCGUAGAUAUUCGGAAGAACACCAGUGGCGAAGGCGACUCACUGGACACGUAUUGACGCUGAGGUGCGAAAGCGUGGGGAGCAAA